UAGGGAAUCUUCCACGAUGGGCGCAAGUCUGAUGGAGCAACGCCGCGUGUGUGAUGAAGGCUUUCGGGUCGUAAAGCACUGUUGUAUGGGAAGAAAUGCUAGAAUAGGGAAUGAUUCUAGUUCGACGGUACCAUACCAGAAAGGGACGGCUAAAUACGUGCCAG
This 164-nucleotide ribosomal RNA is filed under the name uncultured bacterium. Its description in RNAcentral is "partial 16S rRNA". It matches the Rfam family "Bacterial small subunit ribosomal RNA", at positions 355 to 511 of the family's 1533-position model. The record is from RNAcentral.